This 253-nucleotide ribosomal RNA is filed under the name uncultured bacterium. Its description in RNAcentral is "partial 16S ribosomal RNA". It matches the Rfam family "Bacterial small subunit ribosomal RNA", at positions 524 to 776 of the family's 1533-position model. The record is from RNAcentral.
UACAGAGGGUGCAAGCGUUGCUCGGAAUCAUUGGGCGUAAAGGGCAAGUAGGUGGUCUCAUUUGUCUUGUGUGAAAUCCUUGGGCUUAACUCAAGAAGUGCGCAAGAAACGGUGAGACUCGAGUUCUGGAGAGGGUCGUGGAAUUCCCGGUGUAGCGGUGAAAUGCGUAGAGAUCGGGAGGAACAUCAGUUGCGAAGGCGGCUCUCUGGACCAGCACUGACACUGAGGCACGAAAGCGUGGGGAGCAAAAGGG